Molecule: ribosomal RNA, 548 nt
Filed under: uncultured crenarchaeote
Lineage: Archaea; Thermoproteati; Thermoproteota
Description: bacterial SSU rRNA
Rfam family: Archaeal small subunit ribosomal RNA
Source: RNAcentral
AUGGGGCGCAGCAGGCGCGGAACCUCCGCAAUACACGAAAGUGUGACGGGGUUACCCAAAGUGUUCUCUUAAGAACUGUGGUAGGUGAGUAAUGUCCCCUACUAGAAAGGAGAGGGCAAGGCUGGUGCCAGCCGCCGCGGUAAAACCAGCUCUUCAAGUGGUCGGGAUGAUUAUUGGGCUUAAAGUGUCCGUAGCCGGUUUAGUAAGUUCCUGGUAAAAUCAGGUAGCCUAACUAUCUGCAUGCUAGGAAUACUGCUAUACUAGAGGGCGGGAGAGGUCUGAGGUACUACAGGGGUAGGGGUGAAAUCUUAUAAUCCUUGUAGGACCACCAGUGGCGAAGGCGUCAGACUGGAACGCGCCUGACGGUGAGGGACGAAAGCCAGGGGAGCGAACCGGAUUAGAUACCCGGGUAGUCUUGGCCGUAAACGAUGCAUACUAGGUGAUGGCAUGGCCAUGAGCCGUGUCAGUGCCGUAGGGAAACCGUUAAGUGUGCCGCCUGGGAAGUACGGCCGCAAGGCUGAAACUUAAAGGAAUUGGCGGGGGAGCAC